Molecule: unclassified non-coding RNA, 360 nt
Filed under: soil metagenome
Description: partial contains 5.8S ribosomal RNA, internal transcribed spacer 2, and large subunit ribosomal RNA
Rfam family: 5.8S ribosomal RNA (bases 1-120)
Source: RNAcentral
GAUGAAGAACGCAGCGAAAUGCGAUAAGUAAUGUGAAUUGCAGAAUUCAGUGAAUCAUCGAAUCUUUGAACGCACAUUGCGCCCGCCAGUAUUCUGGCGGGCAUGCCUGUCCGAGCGUCAUUUCAACCCUCGGGCCCCCCUCUGCGGGCGGCCCGGCGUUGGGGCUCAGGCGCCGUCUCUGCUCGGCGCCUGUCCCCUAAAUGCAGUGGCGGCCUCGCCGCUGCCUCCUCCGCGUAGUAGCACAAACCUCGCGGCUGGAAGGCGGCACGGCCACGCCGUAAAACCCCCCAACUUUACCAAGGUUGACCUCGGAUCAGGUAGGAAUACCCGCUGAACUUAAGCAUAUCAAUAAGCGGAGGA